UGUGUGAGAGAGCGAGAGAGUGUGUUAACUGUUUAUUUUUUAUUUAGCUGUUGUUUAUUGUCUAUUUCACUUGCUUUAGCAAUGUAAACAUGUUUCCCAUGCCAAUAAAGCCAAUUGAAUUGAAUUGAGAGAGUGAGAGUGAGAGAGUGAGAGUGUGCACGCGCGUGCGCGAGCAUCAUGGAGGGUGAGGACUUAUUCAGUGAAUGAGUGAGAGACAUACUGCUAGUUGUCCUGAAGCUUGACAUUGGUGGUUUAUCGCCAUGUCGGUCUGAAAUGAAUUCCCUUUCAUGCAGCAAGUCAGAGGGAAAACUAUAAUUGCAUUGGUUGUUAAAAUGUUGGGAAAUGACAUAUUUCUAUCGAAUAACUAACCUGAUUCAAUAUCAAUUUCACAUAUGCUAUGCGCCUUUCGACAUGUAAUCUGGGGGGAGGGGAGGGCACUCGUCUUGUAAGCUUUAUGAUAUCCCUGAGGCUUUGAAGAUGUCUUUAGAAAUAUUACACAUUUGAGGCGUGCCAACAAUAUCUGUAUCCUCAUAACGUGUAAGUACAUUUCAUUCAAUAGUAAAAUCCAAGACUCGUCAUUAUGCUUUCGCAAAGACAAAGACAUAACAAUAACAUAUUUCCAUGCUAUGUUUGAUGUUUGUCACUGAGGUGUGUGCUCAUAAUUUACAACAUUAUAUCAUGACCGUUUGGCUUCACGGCAACAUUUGUCAAUCAGGGUCAUGUUCAAGUAAGCCUUGAUGUUUGGCCCUGCCUCCAGGCAGGUUUCAGCGACCAAACAGACAUUUUAGGCCAUGCAACACUUAGACAACACCAACAGACAGCUUAUAUCGACGCUUGGCUGUUAAAAUACUCCAAACCCGUACAUCACCUAAAAUUUGCAACAUAAAAAAAGACGGACGUUUUGUAAGCGGUUUAAAAAAGUUGCCUAUAUUGCACAAUGUUGUUUACGACAGCGAUAACCGAGGAGCACCGGAUCAAUACUUCAUAUUUGAGCGCAGUAGAUAUAGAGAUAGAGAGAAAUGACCAUGAAUUGAUUGUGGGUGUCUGUCUGGAUAUUAUAAACACCCAGCGCUAGACCAACAAUAGGCUAAUUAAAAAUUGAUGUUUGUUGAAUCAUAAUAGGCCUAUGUUAAACUAAUUGUAGUUCGUUACUAGUUAGGUUGCAUAAUUAAGCCUCUACUGCAAAAUUAGUUUUGUUUUUAACUUGAACUCCGUGAUUUAUGAAUAAUAUACGAAUAUAGGUCUCACCGCCUGUAAAUAGCAAUAUGAAUCCAGAUUGCACAAUGCGUAAAGUACCGUUUUACGCACAGAUAGGCCUAUUUCUAGAUGGAAUGAGGAAAUAGACAUCUAUUUCUAUGACCUACAAGACAUUGUGAACUACAAUGCAAUUCAGUUUUACAGUCCAAUUCCGUUUAACAGACUGAGCACCCCUUCAGCGGCCCAGACAAUAGUCCAGACAAUAGUCCAGACAAUAGUCCAGACAAUAGUCCAGACAAUAGUCCAGACAAUAUUUGCGUCCACACACUACAACUAUGAGCGUUGUGGAAUACAUUGAUGUUGAAUCAAUAGCCGAUUUGUUUUGAAAGAUUUCUCCAGACAUUGUCCUCGUUUAAACCCGACUCCACGAGAAACGUUUAAACAACUCUUAUGGGCUCCAUGGGCCUAUGAGCAAUAAUUAUGUUCGAAACCAUUAUUCAUUCUAAAGAUUAUGUUGGGUAAACAUUUAUUUCCUUAUUAGCACAUGAUGUAUAGACAAUCUAACCAAAGGUGGAACACCAGUCAAAAAAGGUUAAUGCUUAAACAUUAAAAAAGUGUUUAUCGUUAUAUCUCAUAAUUAGGCUAUAUACUAUAGAGUGCAUUUUCCUCACGAGUGUUGUACCCAUUUCGCAUCUAUUGAAUAGAAUUACAAACACAUAGGCCUAUGAGUUAUUAACAACCCAAUAAAGUGUAUUAGGUUAUACAAUUUACUUCUUGUAUUGAAAUACAAAAUAACAUAUUUAGAUGAAUCCUUUUCGAGAUUAUUUUUGGAUGAUACAUUUUGAAUAUGCUACAUGUGAUGAUACGUGUUCUAUUAUAUUAUGUAGGAUAGUAGGGUAUUGUCAUUUUUACUAUAAAUAAGACAAUGAAGAUAUCCGUCUCUUUGCGUAUAGAUAGACCACAGUGGUGGGUUUUGCGUGUUGUGAGCUGGUGGAACCUAACUCUAAUGUUCUGUAAACGAGCGACGUGAGGACGGAUUAGGACCGCGGGGACUCGCUUUACCCAAAUCCGCCCGGCCUAACCUCCACACACAUCGAGCUUCAGAACGCGCCAACGUGACACGUACUGUAAUAUGACCUCUAAAACAUAACAUGCAUUAAGAAACGGUAAGUAGGCUAUGAGCUAAACCCCUGUUCCAAAAUAGAAACAAAUAGAAGCAUUAGAAUAUCUCGGGUCAUCCGUUCAUGCAUCGCCUCCUAUUCAAAUGAUUGUGGGGACACAAACAAACCCUAUGCCUUCGCAACCACACGCUCCGCCUCCGUCAAUCCAGACAAAUUCUACGACUUGAGCUAGAGCUUUUAAGCCGUAAUUGAGCACAGGGUGCCCAGGAAUACCAAAGCCACAGACCUGAGUUUUUAUAGCUCCUAUAGUAUUCUACUGCGUUUAUUUCUCUCGGCCAGACGCCAUCAAACCGACCAGGCGUGAUAGGAAGUCGCCACCUACACGGACAAAGUCAGGAGCCGAAGCAGUCCAGCGACAAAAGAAAACGAGACAUUCUAAAACUUAACAAACACAGGUGACAUAAAUGUGAGGAGAGGGCGACGGCGACGAAAAAGGAACCGAAGGAGGGACCACAAGGGAAAACAGCGCCCAUAGUGGGAACCCUAUUCAUCUCCCUGGUCAAUGGGAGGACGUGGCUUUAGCCUUACUAUCUCUUGCAUCAAUUCAAGGGAAACGACUGACAUCAAAUAACUUCAUAAUGCAAAAGACACAUUUCAAAAAUUUCACCAGGACCUUUGACUUGUGUACACAAUGUUGCAAUGGCUAUAGCUUAAUAAAUUGUGAAACAAAACUGCA
Long non-coding RNA from Salmo salar (Atlantic salmon), 3054 nucleotides. RefSeq lists it as uncharacterized. The record is from RefSeq and is a predicted model, not a curated record. Lineage: Eukaryota; Metazoa; Chordata; Actinopteri; Salmoniformes; Salmonidae.